GGGGGUGCAGCUCAGUGGUAGAGCAUGUGCCUAGCAUGCAUGAGGCCCUGGGCUCCAUCCCCAGCACACACA
Molecule: transfer RNA, 72 nt
Filed under: Marmota marmota marmota (Alpine marmot)
Lineage: Eukaryota; Metazoa; Chordata; Mammalia; Rodentia; Sciuridae
Also listed under: 1 other name
Rfam family: tRNA
About the family: Transfer RNA (tRNA) molecules are approximately 80 nucleotides in length.
Source: Rfam by way of RNAcentral